This is a long non-coding RNA of Venturia canescens, 3601 nucleotides long. RefSeq lists it as uncharacterized. The transcript has 10 exons. The record is from RefSeq and is a predicted model, not a curated record. NCBI's taxonomy places the organism in Eukaryota, Metazoa, Arthropoda, Insecta, Hymenoptera, Ichneumonidae.
AUUUCUCUCCCUUUCUUUCGCGUUUCUUCGACUCUUUCGGGGACCUCUCUCUCCCUCGCUCUCCAUUUUAUUCUCCGCCUCGCUUUCUCUCUCGCGCUUCUUCACUAUUUCUCGUUGCCUCCUCCCGCCGCCCCCCUGCCGGGGCGCUUCGAGCCGAGAUAUUUCUUGAUUCUUUUUCUUUCUCUCUCUCCCUCGCUUUCGCGCUUGCUUUAUACAGCUACACGCAUUUCUUUCUCACUCUCUUUCCCUCUCACACACUAAUUUCUCUCUGCUCGCUUCUCGCGCGCUUCCUCCUCUCUCCUGCUUUUUUUCCCGCCUGACUUUUGUUCAAUCGCCUUACCUAACGGGUGGCCAAACAAUUUCACUUCCUCGACCUUGCACUGGAAUUAUUUUAUCCGCGUUAGGCGCCCCUGUCUUUCAUCCACUUUAGCUUCCGCCACAAAAGGCAUCAACAGCUGUGGCAAUAUUAACAUUAAACCAAACACAGUGCUGAGAUCUACCUCAACGAAGCGGUUUUUCGAAUCCGCUCUCAAGUUCGGAAAAAAGGCCGUUGACCCUCGCACCGCUUCCGUGUACUACCGAAUCAGGAAAAAUCGGGCCGGAUUUUUUCUCUUUCCCAUAAAUACUUUACGACUAAAGUUUGACGAACCGAGAAUGAGAAAAUUCGCAAACACCCCGCAAUUCGCGCGACCCUCAAAAGUCGUUCGCAACCGAAGUUAAUCGUUCUUCGUUACAAAGUCGCAGCAUCUGAAAACCUGGUUCAGUGCAUCCCCGCGGGCCGCACUAGCGCCCCAUUUUUCGAUGCGUGCAAACGGGAACCUCACGCAGUGCUAGUCGAGUACUUAAAUAUCUAUACGAUCGUAUACAUGCAAGGGGUGUGCGCAAUGUGUGUGAAUGUGUGGCUUUAGACGUGGGGGAAGUUUGUAUCAUAAAAGCAGCAGCGUCGAGGAGCAGAGAAGAUCGAUGCCGUAUGGCCGCAAGAUCUCGAGGAUUCCAACGUACGAUCAGAGAUCGCUCGUCUGCGUCCCACCAAAAAAACUGACCCCGCGGAGGGCAGCAAGUAUGCUAACCGAUUUGAAAAUGCACGGAAAAGCUGAGAACUCGUUUUAUUGGAAGAACUCACUCCUUAAAUAAUUCGGCAUCGUACCAGCUUGGCAGAUCUUCAGGCGUCAGAUCACUGUGCUCGGGGUCAAUGGUGUCCUCGUUCUCGAGCAACACCUUAAAGUGCUCAGCGGCCGUUUUCGUUUGAGCUGAACAUAGAAGUCAUAAAAAUGGAGUUACGAUAAAAUCGAGUGUCAGAGGGCGUACACUUGGACGAACGAAUCAUCAAAGCGCCACUUCCUCGCACAGGUGGAAGCACAGCUAUGAAUUUGAACCUCGUUAUCAGGGCCGAUAUAACGAAAGAAUUCACACGAGCCUCGGUCACGAGAAGGAACGAUUUAAUAGCAAAAUCAUCAUUUUUUUCUUCAGAAACGUGUGAAGCCAACGAGACGAAAAUCAUUCUCCGAGACUCAACAGUGUUGAAACUAACGUGCUAAAUAACCGUCAAUCUGAGCAGCGAAAAUCGUCGAGAAUGCUCAUUAAAUUAACAUUUAUAAGAAACUGUUUAUUAUUCAAUUGCUCGUUAUCCGUAAGCCGAUUGAACGGCUCCGUAAUGCUGCUCACCUUCGUCGAUGUGUUUGUCUACGUUCCCUGUCGAGGGAGCUGUCAUUGUUGUGAAUUGCUACGAAUUCAGUAGAGUCGAAAUAUUUCUUGCUCGUCCGUCCAGGGAUGGCCGCCUCGUCAAGCUUUUUGUCUAUCGAACUGUCGAAAAUUUGAAUUAAAAAUAACUCGCAGAAUCAUCGUUUUUAAAUCGAGGUGCUCGAAUCGAUAUUUCGGGUUUAGUAAACUUUACAUUCGAGGCAAAACUCCGAUUUUUUCACUCAAAUUCCGACCGACAGCAGCUUGGAAUUCAAGAUCGCGUGGUGCGAGCAGAGCGAAAGAAAUGAGGAAUCGAGAAACGUGAGAAGCGAUGACUUUUCGUUUUCUUUUUCUUAUGUCAAUAUUUUAGUUGAGAGACUGCGAAGGCUGCACAGCUCCCUCGCCUGUCAAAGCAAGUGCAUCGGAAGCCUGGCAAAUCAGCAAUUCUCAGGAUGUUUAAAAAUUAAGGAAUGAGUAAAUUUCGAAUCAAAUAUGCCUCGAUUCACGGAUGUGGCGAUAGAAGCAACGAGCUCCGUUGAGGGCGAUUUUAUUCGAUAGUUCUCGCGCACAAUUCCUCGUGUUAAUGAAAUUGUCAAACUUUUUAAAAGUUCAAACCGUUGGAAGGGGAUUGAAUUAUUGGCUGAGCGACGCGUCGAUGAAUUUGAGUGUUUGACGAACAAAUCGACAGUUGAUUCCAACGAUUUUACAGUUUUGUUGCUCAUUUCGUGGAGUUAUCGUGAAAUAUUUUCUCACGACUCAAUCACUGGAUUAUUCGAAGCAAACUCGUUCGAUAAACUUACUCACAGGGAGCGUAAUGAUCUGAAAUCCUCGGGAAGAGUUGAGAAAAACUUGUAACUAUAAAGCACAACACUUGAACGAGGAUUCGCGCCAGAAAUAACUCUUCAUUCCGCGUGUACCACUUCGGGCGGACCGAACUACUUCCAUCGACACUCGAAAGCCGACUGAAAACGUAACGCGCAGACUGGAGACUGCCGUGGCUACAGUUCAAUUUGCGACGUUCCAUUAGAGAGAUAAUGCGCUGCGCAAAGGUCAAUGGAAGAGGUUUCCUGGCGGAAAAUUCUCGGUUUAUAGAUGCAUGGCAACAUUGUAUCGUCGCCAUCCACCCUUCUUUAAGGAAUCCACCAUUUUUCGAAGGGACUGCAACGUGCAUUCAUCAAAGUGCAGGCAUCUGUGUGUUGGGUUAAUCAAAUAAACCAUUGUAGCAGGAAGAAAAAUGAUUUAUUCACACUUCCACAUGAGUUGGAGCGUUGAACGUUUUCAAUAACGAUCAGCUUAUUGAUCCUCAAUUUUUGCUUAUCGACUGACUUAAUCUCGAAAUAAAAGACAAUCGUAGAAAUGAAGAGUCCGAUGGCGAGGACAGUAAACGCAGCGGCGAGUGGUUUGAGCCCCAGGACUCGGAGUCCGGGCCCCAGGACAUCGUGUUCGAGGAAGACCUCGCGGUAAACAGCUCCAGUACGUCUGGCAAUGACGUCUCGAAUGUGGUAAUCGAUGAAACCGUUUUCUCGAAGCCUGCUCAGGACCUUUUACGUGGCGCCAGAAGCCAGGGCUGGACGGCAAAAGAGACGUAAUAACUGCCCAUGGAUUCCGCCAUCACUCGAUAAGCCUAAAAAAUGUUUAGAAAGAACAAAUUUUUGUUUCGUUUCUAGAAAUAACACUAGAAAUUUUACAAGUUCUUUACUGAACUAUUUUCAAAGUACUUUUCAACGGUUCGCUUACUUCCAAAUCUUUGUCUCUGAUCUCACUUUCUGGGAAGAAGAUCAAAUUUAUGACGCGUCCAAGGAUUGCGUACUUUCCUCCCAAAAUUUUGUUGUGUCGAUCUUCUUCGUUAUUUUCGAUUCGAAAGUGCCUGUUGAGUUGGGCGUUCCAUUUAUUCUACAAAUAAAAAUUAAAUAAGUAGCGU